AGAGUUUGAUCCUGGCUCAGGAUGAACGCUGGCGGCGUGCCUAACACAUGCAAGUCGCACGUCCUUCUGGCUUCGGCUGGAAGGGAGUGGCGGACGGGUGAGGAAUACGUGGGUACCUGCCCCACAGUGAGGAAUACCAGCGGGAAACCGCUGACAAUACCGCAUGAGCUUCGCAAGAAGGAAAGCCUCCGUAAGGAGGC
RNAcentral lists this ribosomal RNA (200 nucleotides) under uncultured bacterium. RNAcentral describes it as "partial 16S ribosomal RNA". It matches the Rfam family "Bacterial small subunit ribosomal RNA", at positions 8 to 216 of the family's 1533-position model. The record is from RNAcentral.